AGAGUUUGAUCCUGGCUCAGGACGAACGCUGACGGUGUGCUUUAGGCAUGCAAGUCGAACGAGAAAGCCCUUUGGGGUGAGUAAAGUGGCGAACGGGUGAGUAACACGUGGGCAACCUGCCCCUCGCAGGGGGACAACCGGAGGAAACUCCGGCUAAUACCCCGUACGCUUGUUGGAUCGCAUGGUCCGGCAAGGAAAGGUAGCUUCGGCCAUCCGGCGAGGGAUGGGCCCGCGUUGCAUUAGCUAGUUGGUGGGGUAACGGCCUACCAAGGCGACGAUGCGUAGCUGGUCUGAGAGGAUGAUCAGCCACACUGGGACUGAGACACGGCCCAGACUCCUACGGGAGGCAGCAGCCAGGAAUCUUGGGCAAUGGGCGAAAGCCUGACCCAGCAACACCGUGUGGGCGAUGAAGGCCUUAGGGUCGUAAAGCCCUGUUGAUAGGGACGAAGGGCGAAGGGUUAAUAGCCCCUAGCUUGACGGUACCUUUCGAGGAAGCCCCGGCUAACUACGUGCCAGCAGCCGCGGUAAUACGUAGGGGGCGAGCGUUGUCCGGAAUUAUUGGGCGUAAAGAGCGUGUAGGCGGUUCGGUAAGUCUGCUGUGAAAUCCUGGGGCUCAACCCUGGGCGUGCAGCGGAUACUGCCGGGCUAGAGGGUGGUAGAGGCGAGUGGAAUUCCGAGUGUAGCGGUGAAAUGCGCAGAUAUUCGGAGGAACACCAGUAGCGAAGGCGGCUCGCUGGGCCACACCUGGCGCUGAGACGCGAAAGCGUGGGGAGCGAACAGGAUUAGAUACCCCCGUAGUCC
This 801-nucleotide ribosomal RNA is filed under the name uncultured Rubrobacter sp. RNAcentral describes it as "bacterial SSU rRNA". It matches the Rfam family "Bacterial small subunit ribosomal RNA", at positions 8 to 796 of the family's 1533-position model. The record is from RNAcentral. Lineage: Bacteria; Bacillati; Actinomycetota; Rubrobacteria; Rubrobacterales; Rubrobacteraceae.